UGGGGAAUAUUGGACAAUGGGCGCAAGCCUGAUCCAGCCAUGCCGCGUGAGUGAUGAAGGCCCUAGGGUUGUAAAGCUCUUUCACCGGUGAAGAUAAUGACGGUAACCGGAGAAGAAGCCCCGGCUAACUUCGUGCCAGCAGCCGCGGUAAUACGAAGGGGGCUAGCGUUGUUCGGAUUUACUGGGCGUAAAGCGCACGUAGGCGGACUAUUAAGUCAGGGGUGAAAUCCCGGGGCUCAACCCCGGAACUGCCUUUGAUACUGGUAGUCUUGAGUUCGAGAGAGGUGAGUGGAAUUCCGGGUGUAGAGGUGAAAUUCGUAGAUAUUCGGAGGAACACCAGUGGCGAAGGCGGCUCCCUGGCUCGAUACUGACGCUGGGGUGCGAAAGCGUGGGGAGCAAACAGG
Molecule: ribosomal RNA, 404 nt
Filed under: Actinomycetes bacterium
Lineage: Bacteria; Bacillati; Actinomycetota; Actinomycetes
Description: Actinobacteria bacterium partial 16S ribosomal RNA
Rfam family: Bacterial small subunit ribosomal RNA
Source: RNAcentral